CAAUAGCGUAUAUUAAAGUUGUUGCAGUUAAAAAGCUCGUAGUUGAAUUUCGGGUGCUCGUAGUCGGUCCUUCAUUGGGCUGGCGCGUGUGCUCUCCCCGCCUUUGGCGGCCUUUACUGUGAAAAAAUUAGAGUGUUCAAAGCAGGCAAUCGCUUGAACACAUUAGCAUGGAAUAAUAAGAUAGGAUCUUGUCUAUUUUGUUGGUUGCGGACAAAGAUAAUGAUUAAUAGGGAUAGUUGGGGGUGUCCGUAUUGAGCUGUCAGAGGUGAAAUUCUUGGAUUUGCUCAAGACGAACUGCUGCGAAANCGNNNACCAAGGAUGUUUUCAUNAA
Molecule: ribosomal RNA, 331 nt
Filed under: uncultured eukaryote
Lineage: Eukaryota
Description: partial 18S ribosomal RNA
Rfam family: Eukaryotic small subunit ribosomal RNA
Source: RNAcentral